This 450-nucleotide ribosomal RNA is filed under the name uncultured bacterium. RNAcentral describes it as "bacterial SSU rRNA". It matches the Rfam family "Bacterial small subunit ribosomal RNA", at positions 330 to 793 of the family's 1533-position model. The record is from RNAcentral.
GCCAGACUCCUACGGGAGGCAGCAGUGGGGAAUAUUGGGCAAUGGGCGCAAGCCUGACCCAGCAAUGCCGCGUGAAGGAAGAAGGCCUUCGGGUUGUAAACUUCUUUUAUCAGGGACGAAGGAUGUGACGGUACCUGAUGAAUAAGCUCCGGCUAACUACGUGCCAGCAGCCGCGGUAAUACGUAGGUGGCGAGCGUUAUCCGGAAUGAUUGGGCGUAAAGGGUGCGCAGGCGGUCCUGCAAGUCUGGAGUGAAACGCAUGAGCUCAACUCAUGCAUGGCUUUGGAAACUGGAGGACUGGAGAGCAGGAGAGGGCGGUGGAACUCCAUGUGUAGCGGUAAAAUGCGUAGAUAUAUGGAAGAACACCAGUGGCGAAGGCGGCCGCCUGGCCUGUUGCUGACGCUGAGGCACGAAAGCGUGGGGAGCAAAUAGGAUUAGAUACCCUAGUAAG